CCACAUCCAGGAAGGCAGCAGGCGCGCAAAUUACCCAAUCCCGACACGGGGAGGUAGUGACAAUAAAUAACAAUACAGGGUUCUUUUGGAUCUUGUAAUUGGAAUGAGUACAAUUUAAAUCUCUUAACGAGGAACAAUUGGAGGGCAGGUCUGGUGCCAGCAGCCGCGGUAAUUCCAGCUCCAAUAGCGUAUAUUAAAGUUGUUGCAGUUAAAAAGCUCGUAGUUGAAUUUCGGGAUCAAUAUUUCGGUCAUGCCGUUGGUAUGCACUGUUAUCAUUGAUUUCUCACCUUCUAAAGAACCGUGAUGCCAUUAAUUUGGUGUUACGGGGAAUUAGGACUGUUACCUUGAAAGAAUUAGAGUGUUUAAAGCAGGCUCACGCUUGAAUACAUUAGCAUGGAAUAAUGAAAUAGGACAUCCGAUUCUAUUUUGUUGGUUUCUAGGAUCGAUGUAAUGAUUAAUAGGGAUAGUUGGGGGCAUUAGUAUUCAAUUGUCAGAGGUGAAAUUCUUGGAUUUAUUGAAGACUAACUACUGCGAAAGCAUUUGCCAAGGAUGUUUUCAUUAAUCAAGAACGAGAGUUAGGGGAUCGAAGACGAUCAGAUACCGUCGU
Molecule: ribosomal RNA, 607 nt
Filed under: uncultured Glomus
Lineage: Eukaryota; Fungi; Glomeromycota; Glomeromycetes; Glomerales; Glomeraceae
Description: SSU rRNA
Rfam family: Eukaryotic small subunit ribosomal RNA
Source: RNAcentral